UAAANAGCGAAACUGCGAAUGGCUCAUUAUAUAAGUUAUCGUUUAUUUGAUAGUACCUUACUACAUGGAUAACCGUGGUAAUUCUAGAGCUAAUACAUGCUGAAAAUCCCGACUUCGGAAGGGAUGUAUUUAUUAGAUUCAAAACCAAUGCCCUUCGGGGCUCCAAUGGUGAUUCAUGAUAACUUCUCGAAUCGCACGGCCCCGCGCCGGCGAUGGUUCAUUCAAAUUUCUUCCCUAUCAACUUUCGAUGCUACGGUAGUGUCCUAGCAUGGUUGCAACGGGUAACGGGGAAUA
This 294-nucleotide ribosomal RNA is filed under the name uncultured fungus. Its description in RNAcentral is "partial 18S ribosomal RNA". It matches the Rfam family "Eukaryotic small subunit ribosomal RNA", at positions 75 to 371 of the family's 1831-position model. Lineage: Eukaryota; Fungi. The record is from RNAcentral.